This 193-nucleotide small nuclear RNA is filed under the name Penaeus monodon (black tiger shrimp). RNAcentral's name for it is "U2 spliceosomal RNA". It matches the Rfam family "U2 spliceosomal RNA". From Rfam's summary of the family: U2 is a small nuclear RNA (snRNA) component of the spliceosome (involved in pre-mRNA splicing). Lineage: Eukaryota; Metazoa; Arthropoda; Malacostraca; Decapoda; Penaeidae. The record is from RNAcentral.
AUCGCUUCUCGGCCUUUUGGCUAAGAUCAAAGUGUAGUAUCUGUUCUUAUCAGCUUGAUAACUGAUACGAUCCCAUGUGGGAUUCUACGAUUUAAACUGAUUAUUGGAAUAUGGCGAGUGCUAGGGGCUUGCUCCACCUUUGCCGCGGAUCGUCCCGGUAUUGCAGUAACCUGCCUGAUUGGGCCCAUCCUCC